GAUGAAGAACGCAGCGAAAUGCGAUACGUAAUGUGAAUUGCAGAAUUCAGUGAAUCAUCGAGUCUUUGAACGCACAUUGCGCCCACUGGUAUUCCGGGGGGCAUGCCUGUCCGUGCGUCAUUGCUGCCCUCAAGCACGGCUUGUGUGUUGGGCCUCCGUCCUCCUCCCGGGGGACGGGCCCGAAAGGCAGCGGCGGCACCGCGUCCGGUCCUCGAGCGUAUGGGGCUUCGUCACCCGCUCUUGUAGGCCCGGCCGGCGCUUGCCGACACAUCAAUCUUUUUUCCAGGUUGACCUCGGAUCAGGUAGGGAUACCCGCUGAACUUAAGCAUAUCAAUAAGCGGAGGA
This 345-nucleotide unclassified non-coding RNA is filed under the name soil metagenome. RNAcentral's name for it is "partial contains 5.8S ribosomal RNA, internal transcribed spacer 2, and large subunit ribosomal RNA". The stretch from base 1 to 120 matches the Rfam family "5.8S ribosomal RNA", at positions 35 to 154 of the family's 154-position model. The record is from RNAcentral.